AAAAAAAUGUAGUCGAGCACGGUGGCUCACGCCUGUAAUCCAAGCACUUUGGGAGGCCGAGGCGGUCAGAUUGCCUGAGCUAAGGAGUUAAACCAGCCUAGACAACACGGUGAAAACCCGUCUCUACUGAAAUAC
Long non-coding RNA from Sapajus apella (tufted capuchin), 135 nucleotides. RefSeq lists it as uncharacterized. Lineage: Eukaryota; Metazoa; Chordata; Mammalia; Primates; Cebidae. The transcript is spliced from 2 exons. The record is from RefSeq and is a predicted model, not a curated record.